UGCCAGCCGCCGCGGUAAUACCGGCGGUCCGAGUCGCAAUCAUUUUUAUUGGGUCUAAAACAUCCGUAGCUUGUGUGGUCAGUCUCUUGUGAAAUCCUAUGUCUUAAGCAUAGAACUGCGAGAGAUACUGCCAUGCUAGAGACCGGGAGGGGUAAGGAGUACGAUUAGAGUAGCGGUUAAAUGCGUUGAUCCUUUUCGGACUAUCGAUAGCGAAGGCACCUUACCAGAACGGAUCUGACAGUCAGGGAUGAAGGCUAGGGGCGCAAAACGGAUUAGAUA
This 279-nucleotide ribosomal RNA is filed under the name uncultured bacterium. Its description in RNAcentral is "partial 16S ribosomal RNA". It matches the Rfam family "Archaeal small subunit ribosomal RNA", at positions 456 to 735 of the family's 1478-position model. The record is from RNAcentral.